RNAcentral lists this ribosomal RNA (486 nucleotides) under uncultured bacterium. Its description in RNAcentral is "bacterial SSU rRNA". It matches the Rfam family "Bacterial small subunit ribosomal RNA", at positions 28 to 511 of the family's 1533-position model. The record is from RNAcentral.
GAUGAACGCUAGCGGCAGGCUUAAUACAUGCAAGUCGAACGGGAUUCGGUGUAGCAAUACAUUGAUGAGAGUGGCGCACGGGUGCGUAACGCGUAUGCAACCUACCUUUAACAGGUGAAUAGCCCCGAGAAAUCGGGAUUAAUACACCGUAACAUUGCGGGAUGGCAUCAUUCUGCAAUUAAAGAUUUAUCGGUUAAAGAUGGGCAUGCGUGACAUUAGCUAGUUGGUGAGGUAACGGCUCACCAAGGCGACGAUGUCUAGGGGUCCUGAGAGGGUUAUCCCCCACACUGGUACUGAGACACGGACCAGACUCCUACGGGAGGCAGCAGUAAGGAAUAUGGUCAAUGGGCGCAAGCCUGAACCAGCCAUGCCGCGUGCAGGAAGACGGCCCUAUGGGUUGUAAACUGCUUUUGUCAGGGAAUAAACCUGUCUACGAGUAGGCAGCUGAAGGUACCUGAAGAUAAGCAUCGGCUAACUCCGUGCCAG